RNAcentral lists this ribosomal RNA (496 nucleotides) under uncultured bacterium. Its description in RNAcentral is "partial 16S ribosomal RNA". It matches the Rfam family "Bacterial small subunit ribosomal RNA", at positions 28 to 506 of the family's 1533-position model. The record is from RNAcentral.
GAUGAACGCUGGCGGCGUGCCUAAUACAUGCAAGUCGAGCGAACAGACGAGGAGCUUGCUCCUCUGACGUUAGCGGCGGACGGGUGAGUAACACGUGGAUAUCCUACCUAUAAGACUGGGAUAACUUCGGGAAACCGGAGCUAAUACCGGAUAAUAUAUUGAACCGCAUGGUUCAAUAGUGAAAGACGGUUUUGCUGUCACUUAUAGAUGGAUCCGCGCCGCAUUAGCUAGUUGGUAAGGUAACGGCUUACCAAGGCAACGAUGCGUAGCCGACCUGAGAGGGUGAACGGCCACACUGGAACUGACACACGGCCCAGACUCCUACGGGGGGCAGCAGUAGGGAAUCUUCCGCAAUGGGCGAAAGCCUGACGGAGCAACGCCGGGUGAGUGAAGAAGGUCCUCGGAUCGUAAAACUCUGUUAUUGGGGAAAAACAAAUGUGUAAGUAACUAUGCACGUCUUGACGGUACCUAAUAAGAAAGCCACGGCUAACUACGU